UCUUUGAUGGCAAAUAAAUAGGAGUGGUGCGGUGACUUAAAGGUGGAGCUCUCACCUCACAAUCAGGAGGCUGUGAGUUCGAUACUAGGUAGAGGCAGAUAUUUCUCUCUCUGGGCACAAUGAG
Notechis scutatus (mainland tiger snake) is the source of this 124-nucleotide non-coding RNA. The record is from RefSeq and is a predicted model, not a curated record. NCBI's taxonomy places the organism in Eukaryota, Metazoa, Chordata, Lepidosauria, Squamata, Elapidae.